RNAcentral lists this long non-coding RNA (1680 nucleotides) under Homo sapiens (human). Its description in RNAcentral is "HSALNT0384367". The record is from RNAcentral. Lineage: Eukaryota; Metazoa; Chordata; Mammalia; Primates; Hominidae.
UUCCUGCAGUAAAAUGCAAGACGUGUGAAGGAGAAACUCCUCUUCUCCUUCCUUCUGAUGAGAGUGCUGCCCUGUGAGAACGUGAUAUGGGGUAGAUGGCAGACAUCUUGGAAGAAGGAAAGAAAGGCCAACGGAAGCACAGGGAUUGCAAACCACUGCCCUGAUACCAAAAAGCCUCUGAAUCAACCCUGGAACUGGGAGGUGGAGAGUUAUUUAUUUUUGUAAAUAACUCUUAGCUUUUCCAUAACUCUUAGCUUGUCUAUAACUCACAGAUAAUAGCAUCUUAACUGAUAAUACUGAUAUGAUCUCAAGAGUAUGUUCUAUAAACAAAAGUGUUGCGUAGUCAGCUGAGUUAGAAAAACGUUGUAUAUUAUAUCCAACUCUUUGUAUUUCAUUUUUGCAAAUUAAAGGCUAUGAGAAGACCUGCAGUUAAAAAAUAAAAACUGUUUAGCUUUUUUUAACAUGGUAUUUCCUAAAAUUAAUCAUAUGAUCAUUUUAAAGACUCCUUAAUAUCUUCAAGAUAUUAAGCACUUCACAGUGUCUGUUUUGGAAAAAUUAAUUUAGGCUUCGUGAGAAAAAGAAAGGAGAUCCUAACACCAAGUAUUGGAUACGCCAAUUCCUACACAGCCUCGAUGGGGCACAAAACAGAAAGCGCAGCUUUAUCUUUCUAAAUCAUCUGCUAUUUCCAGGAGGCCAAGGAAAAGGAAUAAAUUUGACAACUAUCCACUUAUAUCCCUGAAUUCUGACAACAGAAUGCACUAAUGAAGGACCCUCGACAUGAUAACACGGCCACAGUCCAGUCAUCCUGGAUAGCAAAUCUGGAAAUGCAUUUUGACUGCUGCACUUAGGACACAUUUUUAUUGUGGCUUGCAGACAGUUACCCUUCAACGAUGUGGUAACUAAACAGAUUUCUAAUUUUCUUCCACUCUCUUUCUAAGAAAGCAAAAUGAGAUUGAGGAAAAUGCAUUUCAUUGAGAUGGACAGGAUGAACCAGUAAUUCAGACUACAGGAAAAAAGCAGUAAGACAGUUCAGAAAAGCUUAAAAAUCUUGAAGUCUGUUCCAUGAAGGAAAGGGUCACAACGAAUGUCGGCACAGUACUUCACAAACCUGAUGCCAACAGCAACUGUGAAAUGGAAGCAACUCUACAAAUUAUUGCCAUCAUGAGACUAUCAUUAGGUCUACAUAGCUCAAGCUUCACUUGGAGUUCAAUUGUGUGAUUCAGAAGCACAGCUAGGAUAAGUCAGAGACUGGAAAGGGGAAGAGGAGAGACGUGCAGGAUAUUUUUUUUUAACCAGUGAAACAACUCCCGACUUCCAGGACCAGACAAUAUACUUAAUGCACAAAACCAAUAUAUUUUAUGGCCUAAAUGAAAAAAAGUAAAGUGGAAGGUCGGGCGCUGUUCCUUUAAGAUGCUUCCAGAAUCAAAUACCACUCUUGAAAGGGCUGCCAAACAAUGUAUCCAGGUAAAGAAUGAAAAAAAUAUAUUCAGAGGAAAGGCAGGAGGAUGUGUGGAAAGCUCAGUGAGAUUAUGGAAGUGCAGUAAUUGAAUAUGACACAAGAGUCAAGUGCAAGAGGGAACUGGCUGGAGUGCAGUGGCGCAAUCUCAGCUCACUGAAACCUCCACCUCCCAGGUUCAAGUGAUUCUCCUGCCUCAGCCUCCCGAGUACCUGGGAUUCCAG